AUCCCUUCUAGGCCUCUUAGCUAAGAUCAGGUGUAG
RNAcentral lists this small nuclear RNA (36 nucleotides) under Cervus elaphus hippelaphus. Lineage: Eukaryota; Metazoa; Chordata; Mammalia; Artiodactyla; Cervidae. The record is from RNAcentral.